AGUGAACGCUGGCGGUAGGCCUAACACAUGCAAGUCGAACGGCAGCACAGGAGAGCUUGCUCUCUGGGUGGCGAGUGGCGGACGGGUGAGGAAUACAUCGGAAUCUACUCUGUCGUGGGGGAUAACGUAGGGAAACUUACGCUAAUACCGCAUACGACCUACGGGUGAAAGCAGGGGACCUUCGGGCCUUGCGCGAUUGAAUGAGCCGAUGACGGAUUAGCUAGUUGGCGGGGUAAAGGCCCACCAAGGCGACGAUCCGUAGCUGGUCUGAGAGGAUGAGCAGCCACACUGGAACUGAGACACGGUCCAGACUCCUACGGGGGGCAGCAGUGGGGAAUAUUGGACAAUGGGCGCAAGCCUGAUCCAGCCAUACCGCGUGGGUGAAGAAGGCCUUCGGGUUGUAAAGCCCUUUUGUUGGGAAAGAAAUCCAGCUGGCUAAUACCCGGUUGGGAUGACGGUACCCAAAGAAUAAGCACCGGCUAACUUCGUGCCAGCAGCCGCCGUAA
RNAcentral lists this ribosomal RNA (506 nucleotides) under uncultured bacterium. RNAcentral describes it as "partial 16S ribosomal RNA". It matches the Rfam family "Bacterial small subunit ribosomal RNA", at positions 29 to 523 of the family's 1533-position model. The record is from RNAcentral.